GGGCGAGAGCCACCUCUCCGCACCUGAGUGGGAAAUGGAGCUCGCCGGACCCCGAGGCCACCCUGUAAGCAGGGUAGUGCCGUUUCCCUGCCCCUCUUCCUCCCCCGGCCCCUCGGCAUCGUUGCCUGAUGGUGGCUUGUCAACGCGACGGCCCCGUACUCGGGGUGUGUGUCCCAAGCUUUGGAGCCCUCUGUCCCUGAGCAGCCCGCCCGCCCUGUAAUCAGGUGUGGGGAGGCUGCAGCGUUGCAGCCGGCUGCUUUAGCCGUCCAGCUGGUGGGAGUGACCCCUCCCUGUCCCGUCAGAGGGUGCAGGUUGAGGUGCUGUUUGUGUGUGGGGUGACCUCCCCGCUCGGUGGGUCGAGGUAGCUCCCUGGGCUUCCAAAGACGAGGCGUUGGUGAUGUUCUGCUGCUGCCGGGCGGGCCAGCCUGUAACUCAGGCGUUGGCGGGAGCCUCGUGCUCCGCGGGGCUUCUUGAAGAGGGUGAGGUGUGGGGGUACCGUCCUGUAGGCAGGGCUGUGUGUGCCCCCCGUGUGUGCUUGGUGAGCUGCGUUCUGAGAGACCCCCUGUACUCAGGUGGGAAUGUGGCCCCGGCCUUUCAGAGGCGCAGGGCCGUGAGAUGCGGGGUGGGGCUUGCGCCCUCCCUGGAAUCGGGGCUGGGAUCCCGACUGCGGCCUUUGGCCGUGCCGCCCCGCUGCCUGGCUGCUGAGAGUUGCUCCUGCCGCUGGGGGGGAAACCGAGCUCUGUGGCUCCAGGGGUGUUGUCCACCCGCCUGUAAUCAGGGUCUGGGUGCGUGAGCGUUUGUGCUCUGCUGGCAGCCUGUGUGGGGUGACCGCCCCGCUAGCGGGGUGUGGGUCGAGGUGCCCCGGACUGGGAGAGAAGGAGCCUCCCUCGGCCGUAGGGAUGGGGGCUGCCCUGUAAGUCAGGGAGCAUCUGUGUCCCGGAGUCCCAGGCCCUUUUCAAUGGCGGCAGUGGCCGGGGGUCCCCUGUAAGCAGGGAAGCUGACUCUUUGGCUGCUGCUUUUUGUGUGCCCAGCCCCAUUUGCCCGGUCUGCCCGCCUCUGUGAUCCCCCGCAGCACUGGCUGGAAGUCCGCCGCGUGUCAGUGAGGAGCUGCUGCAGAAGGAAGAAGAAGAAGCGGCGUGGGGAGCUGGGAGGCAGGAGCAAGCAAGAAGAGGAAGCGGAAGCGUGCAGAUGCGGGGGGGAAGGAGAGAGGCUCCCUGGGCAAAGCACCUGUCCCGUUAGCGGGGGCACAGUCACGUUUGAGUUGAGAGCUGCCGGCGCCUUUGGUGACCAGGCUGGCGUUGUGCUGGGCGACCUCCCCGUAAGCGGGGCUCGGGUCUUUGCUGUAGUUGGCCUUUUGCCUUGCUGCUCCUUUGGCUGCCUGGGGAGCGUGGCCCCCUGUAACGGAGGGCGAGAGCCACCUCUCCGCACCUGAGUGGGAAAUGGAGCUCGCCGGACCCCGAGGCCACCCUGUAAGCAGGGUAGUGCCGUUUCCCUGCCCCUCUUCCUCCCCCGGCCCCUCGGCAUCGUUGCCUGAUGGUGGCUUGUCAACGCGACGGCCCCGUACUCGGGGUGUGCGUCACGGCAUUUGGCCGCUGGCUUUACCUGAGGAGCCCCUUGGCACGUUGAGGUCUGUGGCCUCCGUGCAGCCUAGGGACGGGUCACAGGCUCUUGUCUGUUGCCCGUGGUUGUGGGUUUAUUCCCAGGUGUUGGCUGUGCUGCGUUGUCCUUCCCUUCUGGAAAGUCGUGCCUGUGUGUGCGUGUUCCCCUUCCUUUCCUUGUUUGUGUUUGUGGAGUGGUUGAGCGGGUGUGCUUUCCCUUUAGGCCUCCACAAAGAUGGCUGCAGCUUAGCUUUGACUUCCCAGGGGGGAAUGGAGGACUUUGGUGCAUGCCGCAAAAGGGGUGUUCCCUCUUAGUCCUGCGAGCGCAGCGAGUGUCCUGUCUUCCUACUAUUUUCCUUAGUGCAGAUCAGAGCCACACGGUAGUUCUGUGGCCAAGGCCUCCCUGUAGCCAGGGCUUGGGCCUGUCCUUGCGUGGCCGCCUGUCCUGCUGGCGGCGGUGACAGCCCCGUACUCGGGGUGUGUGUCCCAAGCUUUGGAGCCCUCUGUCCCUGAGCAGCCCGCCCGCCCUGUAAUCAGGUGUGGGGAGGCUGCAGCGUUGCAGCCGGCUGCUUUAGCCGUCCAGCUGGUGGGAGUGACCCCUCCCUGUCCCGUCAGAGGGUGCAGGUUGAGGUGCUGUUUGUGUGUGGGGUGACCUCCCCGCUCGGUGGGUCGAGGUAGCUCCCUGGGCUUCCAAAGACGAGGCGUUGGUGAUGUUCUGCUGCUGCCAGGCGGGCCAGCCUGUAACUCAGGCGUUGGCGGGAGCCUCGUGCUCCGCGGGGCUUCUUGAAGAGGGUGAGGUGUGGGGGUACCGUCCUGUAGGCAGGGCUGUGUGUGCCCCCCGUGUGUGCUUGGUGAGCUGCGUUCUGAGAGACCCCCUGUACUCAGGUGGGAAUGUGGCCCCGGCCUUUCAGAGGCGCGGGGCCGUGAGAUGCGGGGUGGGGCUUGCGCCCUCCCUGGAAUCGGGGCUGGGAUCCCGACUGCGGCCUUUGGCCGUGCCGCCCCGCUGCCUGGCUGCUGAGAGUUGCUCCUGCCGCUGGGGGGGAAACCGAGCUCUGUGGCUCCAGGGGUGUUGUCCACCCGCCUGUAAUCAGGGUCUGGGUGCGCGAGCGUUUGUGCUCUGCUGGCAGCCUGUGUGGGGUGACCGCCCCGCUAGCGGGGUGUGGGUCGAGGUGCCCCGGACUGGGAGAGAAGGAGCCUCCCUCGGCCGUAGGGAUGGGGGCUGCCCUGUAAGUCAGGGAGCAUCUGUGUCCCGGAGUCCCAGGCCCUUUUCAAUGGCGGCAGUGGCCGGGGGUCCCCUGUAAGCAGGGAAGCUGACUCUUUGGCUGCUGCUUUUUGUGUGCCCAGCCCCAUUUGCCCAGUCUGCCCGCCUCUGUGAUCCCCCGCAGCACUGGCUGGAAGUCCGCCGCGCAUCAGUGAGCUGAGAAAAGCUGCUCGAAGAGCUGCUUCAGAAGAAAGAAGAAGCGGCGUGGGGACCUGGGCUGCAAAAUCAAGAUGGGGCAUCUGUUGACUGUUUUUCUUGUAUUUCUUUGCCUUUUGGAGCCACAGUUUUGAACGGUUGUGUAAGACUUUAUCACUCUUUUUGUCAGCGUCGUCAGCUGUGAAUAAAGUUUUUUUUCCAUGUUGUUUUUCCUGUUAUA
This is a long non-coding RNA of Gallus gallus (chicken), 3235 nucleotides long. The record is from Ensembl. Lineage: Eukaryota; Metazoa; Chordata; Aves; Galliformes; Phasianidae.